CGGACGGGUGAGUAACGCGCGGGUAACCUGCCCUGUACAGGGGGAUAACAGUUGGAAACGGCUGCUAAAACCGCAUAACAUGGAGAUACCGCAUGAUAUUUCCAUCAAAUAUUUAUAGGUACAGGAUGGGCCCGCGUCUGAUUAGCCAGUUGGCAGGGUAAUGGCCUACCAAAGCGACGAUCAGUAGCCGACUUGAGAGAGUGACCGGCCACAUUGGGACUGAGACACGGCCCAAACUCCUACGGAAGGCAGCAG
This 255-nucleotide ribosomal RNA is filed under the name uncultured bacterium. Its description in RNAcentral is "partial 16S ribosomal RNA". It matches the Rfam family "Bacterial small subunit ribosomal RNA", at positions 99 to 354 of the family's 1533-position model. The record is from RNAcentral.